AAUAACCAUCCCAUUAUAUGAUUGGAGAUUGGGGAAAUACAAAUAAUUAAAACAGCAAAAGAUAUGAUAGAAUAUACAAUGACCAAGAGCAUAAAAGUAAUUGAACAAACAACAGACAAGUAGUAAACAAUAUAGGAUCUGGUUAGAUAGGGGGACAUACAAGAGCGUAAAAGUAAUUGAACAAACAACAGACAAGUAAGUAAACAAUAUAGGAUCUGGUUAGAUAGGGGGAUAUACAAGAGCGUAAAAGUAAUUGAACAAACAACAGACAAGUAAGUAAACAAUCUAGGAUCUGGUUAGAUAGGGGGACAUACAAGAGCGUAAAAGUAAUUGAACAAACAACAGACAAGUAAGUAAACAAUAUAGGAUCUGGUUAGAUAUGGGGACAUACAAGAGCGUAAAAGUAAUUGAACAAACAACAGACAAGUAAGUAAACAAUAUAGGAUCUGGUUAGAUAGAGGACAUACAAGAGCGUAAAAGUAAUUGAACAAACAACAGACAAGUAAGUAAACACUAUUUGAUCUAGUUAGAUAUGGGGACAUACAAGAGCGUAAAAGUAAUUGAACAAACAACAGACAAGUAAGUAAACACUAUUUGAUCUGGUUAGAUAUGGGGACAUACAAGAGUGUAAAAGUAAUUGAACAAACAACAGACAAGUAAGUAAACAAUAUAGGAUCUGGUUAGAUAGGGGGAUAUACAAGAG
Molecule: long non-coding RNA, 703 nt
Filed under: Mytilus galloprovincialis (Mediterranean mussel)
Lineage: Eukaryota; Metazoa; Mollusca; Bivalvia; Mytilida; Mytilidae
Source: RNAcentral